Long non-coding RNA from Aethalodelphis obliquidens (Pacific white-sided dolphin), 3821 nucleotides. RefSeq lists it as uncharacterized. NCBI's taxonomy places the organism in Eukaryota, Metazoa, Chordata, Mammalia, Artiodactyla, Delphinidae. The transcript is spliced from 2 exons. The record is from RefSeq and is a predicted model, not a curated record.
AGCAGACGCCCCUGGGUGGGAUGUGCCUGCUUGUCCAGGACCAGAGGCAGGAUGCGAGGAAGGCGUCAGAGGUGAGGGUGCCCCAGGGGUGCUGGCCGCAGGCACCACCUCGGGCAGCGUGAGUGGAGGGGAGGACGGCUGGCCUGUGUGCAGAGCAGACCCGGCCGGGCUCGUGGGGAGUUUGGUGACAGGUGGCUACAGCUCGACAUGAGUGUCAGCGCCGGACACGGUAAGAAAUCAGUGGGUUCUGGUUGUAUCUUAAAGGUGGGGACGGUAGGACGUCCCAGUAGCCUGGACGUGGGGUGUAAGGGAGGGGAUGGCAGAGGCGCCCGGCUGGGGCAGCAGGGAGGACAGGGUCUGCGUCACCUGCUCGGGGAGGCCUUGUGAGUGUGUGAGGUGGCCAUCCUGAGCCGUUUAGGUGGCCAGGCAGGGACACGGGCAGUCGGGUGUACGAGUCUGGCACUCGGGGGCGGGGAUGGAGAUUUGGGGGGUGUUGACAGCAUUGGGCUAAGCGGUCACCAGGGAGGGGAGCAGUAGAGGACUCACAGCCAGGUAAUUUCUGUCUCCUUCGGAGAGGGACCCUGAGGGCUGCCCGCUUGUUUCCAUGCUGCUGUGCUCGCUCAGAACGUUUUUGGAAUUGCUUUUUACCCUGAAGGGUGUUUUUGAGUAGCUUCGAUGGUGGCAGAUUAUUGUUUGAGGACAGAUUUGAUUUUACGGAACCUCGCAGAUGACACCCAGCCCACUAGAUUCAACAAUGUGGAAUGUGGUUUGUUUGUUAAGGUAAAGGGCUGUUACACUGAGAUUUUGUUUCUUUGGCUGAAACUUGCCCUUGGGUCACAGGUGUUCCGAGCGCAAGAUGUCAGCUCCACUGGGAGCCCCAUCUGUCCUGCCCCGUUGGGACCCCAGGGCCUGUGCAUGGUCCGGCCCAGGGCAGUCCCCUGACACUCCGGGUAGGCACCUACUCCCACAAUCCUGCUGCGGCCACCCCGCCUACGUGGGCAUCCCUCCUCUCUGGCACCCGUUCUGGGGGCAUAGUUUCUCAAUAGGAAUUUCUGUGACCAAAGUUCCUGACAUCCCUGUCUGACCUCCACUCCGCCCUUCCUAGCGCCCCGGCUUCAGUAACUCCUCGGGGCCUCAGUGGGCUGAUCCCACCCCCUUCUCCCUCUCUGACCCUCCCGCCUGUCUGCAUUCUGACUCACCCAGCAGCAGAUUCUGCUGCUGUGUCCUCGUCACUCUGGCGUAGACACUGGCAAUGUCUCCCUGCAUCUCUGUCUCCAUCCUGCCUGGCGGGGAAAGCCCCACACCCGGUUGACGCCAGCUGUGUAUCUGCACUUGGGCAGCUGUCCUGGAGGCAGAGAGGAACGUCACAACCCUGCCAUUCCGGCACGACCACAAACCUCAGCACAGCCCAGGGACGUUUCCUUAGCUGGUGAUCUUGCUACUAAGAUGUUGUGAAAACAGAAGCCACCCAGAGGCCCUGUCCUCAUCUGCCCACCCGACCUACAAACGUUCCAGCUCCGGGGUCGUCCCUGACUGCUCACAAGUUCCCUUUAAAUGAUUCCCCCUUCCCUACAUCAUUGCUCUUCCCCACUCUGAAGGUGGUCCCUACUGGCUACACACAAACGCUCGCGCUUUCAAAGAGAAAACCCUCUUCCCGUGAUUCCCUGUUGCUUCCCCUCUGCUUCCUCCUCACCCAUCCACCCUUCCAUCCUCCUCCUGAGAGGCUCCCAAACACCAACCUCCAGGGAGACACUCUCACCCAGCUUCCCGCUGACCCCUGGCCAGAUGUUGCUCUGCCUGCCUCUCACUUGACCUUUCCUGCAGCCCGGGCUCCUCGACUUGCUGGUUUUCCUCCCCUGGGCAGCCCUUCCUAUUUACUCUCCCCUUGGCUUCUCCUGUUCGCUCUUCUUGCCUCAAGCAGCGGUUCUUAGCCCAGAGGCGAGGCUACUCCUCAGGGGACGUUUAGCAAUGAGUAGAGACCCCCGUGUGGCUGUCACAGCUGGGCGUGGGGAGGUGACACGGGCGUCCAGUGGGCAGACACCAGGGGCGCUGCUGACCACCCUGCCAUGCGGGGACGGCCCCAUCCCCAGCAGGUGGCUGCGCGGCCCGAGGUGGCCCUGGUGCUGAGGCUGAGAAACCUUAUUCCUCCCGGUGGCUUCCAGGGUCCCCUUCUUUUUCUUCUUGGGAUGCACUCUUAGGUGAUUUAAUCUAUCCAUUGCUCUAAAUGCAUUUUAUGGGCUGGCGACCCCCAGCUUGAUACCUGUAGCCCGUCCCUCUCCCCUGAGCUGCAGGUCUGUGUAUCCACCUGUACUUGACCUGUCUACUUGGAAGUCUCUUGAGAAUCUAAGUGUGACCAAGGUGGAACUCCUGGUAAUUUCCCCUCUGAAGCCCGUUCUUCCCCAGCCCUCCUGUCUCAGUAAAUGCCAGCACUCCCCGCAGUGGCGCCGGCCAGACCAGGGAGUCAGCUUGCGUCCUCUCACCACCUCCCCCUGACUAGGCCAAGAGCAAGUUCCAUCAGGUAUGUUUUCAAAACAUUUCCCAACUUGUUGGGUAACCCCUCUGUCCCUGGCCUUGGAACCGGCCUCCCUGCCCACCUGUGCCCUUCCCCAAGCCCCAGGCAGGCGUCUUGCAGACACACUUCAGACCACACAUGUCCCUUCCUUAAAACCCACAGCAUCCUUAGGAAAAACCCCAAACCCGGGCCCUACCUUCCUCCUAAACUCACCCAGACCAGUCUGGGUCCUCACCCCACCCUGCAGCCACCCUGCCCUUUCUUUUGUUCCUUGAUCAGACAAGCCCUUUCUCACCUCGGGGCCUUUCCCAGCCUGAAAUCUCUUCCUCCCCGUCUGCCCGACUCCUCAUGUCCAGAUCUCAGCUCAGAUGUCACUUCUGAGAGGCUUUCCCUGACAUCCCUCUCUAAACCCAUCUCACCCCCUGCCGUGGACCCUCCCAUCUGGCAUCUGGUUUGUUGUCUUGUAUAAAUGCAAGCUUCAUGAGGGCACAGACACCAGUUACCUGUGUGUCCUCAGCACCUAGCCCGUGGCUGGUUCAUAGAGCAAGUCUAGCCCGUGGCAGGUUCAUAGAGCAAAUUUUAGGGGCCUGAACACAAAGGCUCAUUGGCUGAAUCCACAUAAAAUAAAAUACUGGCUUAUCUUUGACAGUUUCCUCACUAUACAAGCACACCACCCUCCCCCCUUUCCCCAGGCUGUGUUUCUGGUUUGUGUUUGGAAUUGCUGGGGCCACAGAUCUUUUCCUGCAGCUGGUUUGGGGGCAAGGCCGACUGCACCCCUGCUUUUCCUUUUCUGCCCUUUGAUUAUGAACGCAGCACAUCCAGCUCGGAUGUUCGAAGGAGCUGGAGCCCAGGGUGAAGGCCCUUCACCUGCCCCUCCCCGCUGUCCCGUCUGACGCCUGCAGGUGACAGUGGGUUCAGCCCUUUUGGAUUUUUAAACCCAAGAUGACACUGAACGGACAGGUACGUUUUCUGCCAGCCGCUCAAGGACAGCAGCGGCCACGUCUCAGGGCUGCCUGUUUUCUGAACCACAGACUUGGGCAGCAGUGCUCGUGAGGAGGAAGGGCUGCAGUAGAACCGGUGCUUCCGGGGGCGGACACUCCACCGUGCUUUGCGGACACCAGGCACCAUCCUGGCCACUCGUGUCCACCUGGGGGAGCGGAGGCGGUGUGGCCCCGUGCAGCAUCUGUGUACUUAGCCGCGCAACCCUCCAGCAGAGUUUUCUUGGUUACGUGGUUUUUCCUUUAAAAUUAAGGUAUGGUACGUUAAAAAGCCAUAACAUUUGAGUUGGCUCCCAUCAGAAGAAUGGAUU